Molecule: ribosomal RNA, 460 nt
Filed under: uncultured bacterium
Lineage: Bacteria
Description: partial 16S ribosomal RNA
Rfam family: Bacterial small subunit ribosomal RNA
Source: RNAcentral
CCUACGGGGGACAGCAGUGAGGACUAUUGGUCAAUGGGCGCGAGCCUGAACCAGCCAAGUAGCGUGAAGGAUGACUGCCCUACGGGUUGUACACUUCUUUUAUCAAGGAAUAAAGUUAGGCACGUUUGCCUUUUUGUAUGUCCUUUAUGAAUAAGGAUCGGCUAACUCCGUGCCAGCAGCCGCGGUAAUCCGGAGGAUCCGAGCGUUAUCCGGAUUUAUUGGGUUUAAAGGGGGCGUAGAUGGGUUGUUAAGUCAGUUGUGAAAGUUUGCGGCUCAACCGUAAAAUUGCAAUUGAUACUGGCAGUCUUGAGUACAGUUGAGGUAGGCGGAAUUCGUGGUGUAGCGGUGAAAUGCUUAGAUGUCACGAAGAACUCCGAUUGCGAAGGCAGCUUACUAAACUGCCACUGACAUUGAUGCUCGAAAGUGUGGGUAUCAAACAGGAUUAGAUACCCUUGUAGUC